RNAcentral lists this ribosomal RNA (293 nucleotides) under uncultured microorganism. Its description in RNAcentral is "partial 16S ribosomal RNA". It matches the Rfam family "Bacterial small subunit ribosomal RNA", at positions 505 to 796 of the family's 1533-position model. The record is from RNAcentral.
GUGCCAGCAGCCGCGGUAAUACGAAGGGUGCAAGCGUUACUCGGAAUUACUGGGCGUAAAGYGUGCGUAGGUGGUUGUUUAAGUCUGUCGUGAAAGCCCCUGGGCUCAACCUGGGAAUUGCGAUGGAAACURGGCGACUAGAGUGUGGCAGAGGGUAGUGGAAUUCCUGGUGUAGCAGUGAAAUGCGUAGAGAUCAGGAGGAACAUCCGUGGCGAAGGCGACUGCCUGGGCCAACACUGACACUGAGGCACGAAAGCGUGGGGAGCAAACAGGAUUAGAUACCCUGGUAGUCC